Molecule: ribosomal RNA, 253 nt
Filed under: uncultured bacterium
Lineage: Bacteria
Description: partial 16S ribosomal RNA
Rfam family: Bacterial small subunit ribosomal RNA
Source: RNAcentral
UACGUGGGGUGCGAGCGUUAAUCGGAAUUACUGGGCGUAAAGCGUGCGCAGGCGGUGAUGUAAGUCAGGUGUGAAAUCCCCGGGCUUAACCUGGGAACUGCAUUUGUGACUGCAUUGCUGGAGUGCGGCAGAGGGGGAUGGAAUUCCGCGUGUAGCAGUGAAAUGCGUAGAUAUGCGGAGGAACACCGAUGGCGAAGGCAAUCCCCUGGGCCUGCACUGACGCUCAUGCACGAAAGCGUGGGGAGCAAACAGG